This 949-nucleotide long non-coding RNA is filed under the name Daucus carota (carrot). Its description in RNAcentral is "long non-coding RNA (DCAR_LNC005427)". Lineage: Eukaryota; Viridiplantae; Streptophyta; Magnoliopsida; Apiales; Apiaceae. The record is from RNAcentral.
UAUAUAUAUAUAUAUAUAUAUAUAUAUAUAUAGACACACAAAGUUAUGUUAUUUUUGAAAUUCCCAAAUUAUUUUGAUAAAUACUAGAGACAAUUAUGAAAGCACUCGAAGUGGUUUUGCAGUAAAAAGUUAAACGAUUAAUUUUUGAAAAAUAAUUAAGUAAACAGAUAUGAAUAGUGAUGUGGGUAAAAUGAUAUAUAUUGGAUUUAUAAUGGCUUAAAUGAAUCUCCAAUGAGAUUGGUGGGUUAAGUCAGAUAUUUUGACGUAAUGGGUGGCCAAUUUGAUAUAAAACCCAAAUCUAGCCUAUCUAGAUACUCCUUCCGUCCCAUUUUAGUUGUCACAUUUCUAUUUUUGUUUGUCAAAUUGACUAAUUUUUGACCAAAUAUUAUAAGUCACUCUUUCAUCAUUUUAAAAAACUGAAAAUUACAUCUUAAAGUAGAAUAAAAAAAAUUCCUAUGAUAUAUUUUUUUUAAUUUUUUCAAUUGAUAAAAUAUUAAUAAAUUUCAGUUAAACUUUGGUCAAUUUGACCGGCACAAAACCAAAUAUGACAUCUAAAAUGGGACGGAGGGAGUAUUUGUUUCAAAUGAAUUAUGUGAUAACUUGAACCCGUACGUAGCUAGCUUUCUUGAACAACUUUUAUGGUUUCUUGUCUAGUAGCUAGAGAUCAAUCUCGUACUUUCUCAAGGAUCAAUACAAGAUCGACUAACCUUUACAUCCCUUUCUCUUCUUCAUGAUAUUCUUCUUACAUUCAAGUAAGUUCCCAAAUUUGUUGUUAAUCCCUUUCUCCCGUUAACCUAAGAGAUUGAGAAAAAUGUGCGAAAACAAGAAAAGAUGCUCGAAAAUAAAAAUGCGGUGUUUGGAUAAACUUAUGAAUCAAGUAUAUAAUUAUAUAUACAUACUUUUAAUGAUUUUAUUCCUAUAAUUUAGUAUUUUUUUAAUAAAGAGGUAA